CCCUUAGAUGUCCGGGGCCGAACGCGCGCUACACUGAAGGAAUCAGCGUGGCUUUCUCCCUGACCCGAAAGGGUUGGGAAACCCGUUGAAUCUCCUUCGUGAUAGGGAUUGGGGCUUGAAAUUGUUCCCCAUGAACGAGGAAUUCCCAGUAAGCGCGAGUCAUAAGCUCGCGUUGAUUACGUCCCUGCCCUUUGUACACACCGCCCGUCGCUACUACCGAUUGAACGGUUUAGUGAGGGCCUCGGAUUGGUCUCGGCCCGCUCUUUACCGGGCGGCGCCGUUGGUCGAGAAGACGCUCGAACUUGAUCGUUUAGAGGAAGUAAAAGUCGUAACA
RNAcentral lists this ribosomal RNA (334 nucleotides) under uncultured eukaryote. Its description in RNAcentral is "partial 18S ribosomal RNA". It matches the Rfam family "Eukaryotic small subunit ribosomal RNA", at positions 1470 to 1796 of the family's 1831-position model. The record is from RNAcentral.